RNAcentral lists this ribosomal RNA (253 nucleotides) under uncultured bacterium. Its description in RNAcentral is "partial 16S ribosomal RNA". It matches the Rfam family "Bacterial small subunit ribosomal RNA", at positions 524 to 776 of the family's 1533-position model. The record is from RNAcentral.
UACGGAGGGAGCAAGCGGUGUUCGGGAUCCUAGGGCGGAAAGCGCGGGUAGGCGGCCUGGUAAGUCGGGUGUGAAAUCCCGGGGCCCAACCCCGGAACUGCAUUCGAAACUGCCUCGCUAGAGUCCCGGGGAGGAAGGCGGAAUUCCCGGUGUAGAGGGGAAAUUCGUAGAUAUCGGGAGGAAAGCCAGCGGCGAAGGCGGCCUUCUGGACGGUGACUGACGCUGAGACGCGAAAGCGUGGGGAGCAAAUAGG